UACGGGAGGCAGCAGUGGGGAAUAUUGCACAAUGGGGGAAACCCUGAUGCAGCGACGCCGCGUGCGGGAUGAAGGCCCUAUGGGUUGUAAACCGCUUUCAGCAGGGAAGAGGCCGCAAGGUGACGGUACCUGCAGAAGAAGCCCCGGCUAACUACGUGCCAGCAGCCGCGGUAAU
This 175-nucleotide ribosomal RNA is filed under the name uncultured rumen bacterium. RNAcentral's name for it is "partial 16S ribosomal RNA". It matches the Rfam family "Bacterial small subunit ribosomal RNA", at positions 340 to 524 of the family's 1533-position model. The record is from RNAcentral.